This 1116-nucleotide ribosomal RNA is filed under the name Triticum aestivum (bread wheat). RNAcentral describes it as "partial small subunit ribosomal RNA". The record is from RNAcentral. Lineage: Eukaryota; Viridiplantae; Streptophyta; Magnoliopsida; Poales; Poaceae.
AUGUGCUUCCUUUUCCCACUUCACAGUUCACGCUCUAGCCCCAGCCCCCGAUCUCCGGCAAUGUCGCUCCACCAGCGGCCGCACCAGAAGCCGCUGGGCGCCGACUCCCUCCCCGUCUCCACGACCCCCGCUAACGCCGCCCCUUCCCGCCCCCUGCCCCUCCUCACGCUCCCCUACCUCUUCUCCCUUCUCGCGCUCCUCCUCCUACUCGCCCUCCUCUUCCCCUGGGGGCCGCCCCGCCACUCCGCGCUGGCCUCCCCGUGGCGCUCCUACACGCUCCAAGACGCCGCCGCCUUCGCCGCGGCCUCCGGCAACGGCACCAUCAUCCUCGCCGCCGUCUCCGGGCCGUACCUCCCCUUCCUCUCCAACUGGCUCAUCAGCGUCCGCCGCGCCGGCCGCGCUAACCAGGUGCUCGUCAUCGCCGAGGACUACGAGACCCUCGAGCGCAUCAAUGCCGCAUGGCCCGGCCACGCCGUCCUCGUGCCCCCCGCGCCCGACGCCCAGGCCGCCCACAAGUUCGGGUCACAGGGCUUCUUUAACUUCACCUCGCGGCGGCCGCGACACCUGCUGCAGAUUCUCGAGCUGGGGUACAGCGUCAUGUACAAUGACGUCGACAUGGUGUGGCUUGCCGACCCGUUUCCAUACCUAGUCGGCAAUCACGACAUCUACUUCAUGGACGACAUGAGUGAAGUGAAGCCACUGAAUCAUUCACAUGCGCUGCCGCCGCCAGGUAAGAAGGGGCGGCCAUACAUUUGCAGCUGUAUGAUCUUCCUGCAGCCAACAGAAGGGGCAAAGCUGUUGAUGAGGAAGUGGAUUGAGGAGCUCAAGGAACAGCCCUGGUCGAGGAAAGCGAAAUCAAAUGAUCAGCCAGCAUUCAACUGGGCUUUACUAAAGACUACUGGGCAGGUGGAUGUGUAUUUACUACCUCAGUCUGCUUUUCCAACUGGAGGUCUAUAUUUCAAGAACAAAAAAUGGGUCAAGGAGACAAAGGGCAAGCAUGUCAUUAUACAUAACAACUACAUAACAGGGUUUGAAAAGAAGAUAAAACGCUUCCGUGAUCAUAAACUCUGGCUGGUGGAUGAGCACAGCGACGAGUCACCACUUGGUAAAAUAUGA